UUCUGGGGGAGUCACGUGAAGCUUGAAUCUACAGAAUAACAAAAGAUCACCAGGUUGUUAGAUACAUCUAUUCCCAGAUUUCUGAGCAAAACAGGUGUAAAUCCUUUAUGUUGAAGAGGAAAGUGUGUGUUUAACAUUUCUGGAUUUUUCUAAUGCUUAUCUUCUCUCAAGUUCUAGGAUUGCAGAUGUGAAACACAAAUCAGCAAUUAGAUGUCUACCCUAAGUUUUUAAUAUGAGAGUAUCUUAACAGAAGUUUGGCACAGUGUAUUUUUAAAGUUUAGUGUAUCCUGACUUCAUAAGAGACAUUUCAAAUACCGUUGGAAUUGAGUGUGACUAUCUUCUUGCAAAAUUUCUGUAUUGAAUUUCUACAUACUGGAAGCUCUAAGAACAAAGGAAAACAGGAAGCAAGCAAGCAAGGAACAAAUGAAGGAAAUUAAGAAGAGAGAAGUGAAGGCAAUAAAGAAGAAACGCUUGCUGUAAAGCACAAGCAUGCUUUGAUGUCAUGAUGCAAGCCUUUAAAAAUGUUGGGGGAAAUAACUACAAAGAGAGUAGAGUUGGCUGAACAUAGCUAAACUCUAUUGAUGUCCUACAGAAAGAAUGAAAAGUGGAGCCCACAAUGUGUUAGUAAUUAGUGAAUGAGAAAGUCAGAGCCUUUGUGAUAGAAUGACUUAUGAUCUG
This is a non-coding RNA of Peromyscus maniculatus bairdii (prairie deer mouse), 678 nucleotides long. NCBI's taxonomy places the organism in Eukaryota, Metazoa, Chordata, Mammalia, Rodentia, Cricetidae. The record is from RefSeq and is a predicted model, not a curated record.